AAAUGUUGUUGACUUCAUAUUUGUGAAAGCAGAAGGUUACCAAAAUCAUCGGCAGGACACAUGGAAGGGGAGUGUGAAUUAGGGGAUUGAGGUCAACACAAUUGAAAGCCCCUGGCCAGCUACAGCUCAGCAAUACUCGGCGACACUCAAGAGUUGUUUUUGAAAUGCAACAUGUAAUUCCUUCUCUGCAGAGCCUGGGCAAAAGUUCCUCUCAGAAGCCCGUACCUCUUUGAGCCUCACUACUUGAGUAUUCAAAGCUGGAGGACAGAAAUGUUGGUGUUUGAUACGUCUCUGCGAGCAACAACUUCUCCGCAGCCUUGUGAUGAGGAAGGAACAAUUUAGAGCCUCCUCUACCCACUGAUCCUUGCCUGCUGAGGUCAUCAAGUCUCUAAGGGCCUCAUUGACA
This 406-nucleotide long non-coding RNA is filed under the name Homo sapiens (human). Its description in RNAcentral is "HSALNT0344644". Lineage: Eukaryota; Metazoa; Chordata; Mammalia; Primates; Hominidae. The record is from RNAcentral.